Molecule: non-coding RNA, 414 nt
Organism: Octodon degus (degu)
Lineage: Eukaryota; Metazoa; Chordata; Mammalia; Rodentia; Octodontidae
Source: the annotation of a RefSeq genome assembly
ACGGAGGACACCUGCAGUUGUCACCCUGAGCGUGUCAUGGCUUGCAGGCUCCUCUGCUAUGUGGCAUUUUACUUCCUGGGAACAGAUGCUGGUGUCUCCCAGAUUCCAAGACACUGCAUUACAGAGACAGGAAAGAAGAUUGUUCUGGAAUGUUCGCAAACUAUGGGCCACAACAACAUGUACUGGUACAGACAGGAUCUGGGCAGGGCACUGCGGCUGAUCCAUUACUCCUACGGCAUUAACACCACAGAGAAAGGAGAGCUGCCAUCUGAGUCGACAGUCUCCAGAGAAAGAUUGGAGCAUUUCCCGCUGACCCUGGAGUCACCCAGCCCCACACACACAUCUCAGUACUUCUGCGCCAGCUCUGAAUACACAGUGCCACACGGUCACCUACAUCCUGCACAAAAAGGGUAG